CGGAAUUAUGGGCGUAAAGCGUGCGCAGGCGGUUUUGUAAGACAGAGGUGAAAUCCCCGGGCUCAACCUGGGAACUGCCUUUGUGACUGCAAGGCUGGAGUGCGGCAGAGGGGGAUGGAAUUCCGCGUGUAGCAGUGAAAUGCGUAGAUAUGCGGAGGAACACCGAUGGCGAAGGCAAUCCCCUGGGCCUGCACUGACGCUCAUGCACGAAAGCGUGGGGAGCAAACA
Molecule: ribosomal RNA, 228 nt
Filed under: uncultured Alicycliphilus sp.
Lineage: Bacteria; Pseudomonadati; Pseudomonadota; Betaproteobacteria; Burkholderiales; Comamonadaceae
Description: partial 16S ribosomal RNA
Rfam family: Bacterial small subunit ribosomal RNA
Source: RNAcentral